UACGAAGGGGGCUAGCGUUGUUCGGAAUUACUGGGCGUAAAGCGCACGCAGGCGGAUUGAUAAGUCAGGGGUGAAAUCCCGGGGCUCAACCUCGGAACUGCCUUUGAUACUGCGAGUCUUGAGUCCGAUAGAGGUGGGUGGAAUUCCUAGUGUAGAGGUGAAAUUCGUAGAUAUUAGGAAGACCACCAAAGGCGAAGGCAGCUCGCUGGGACGUGACUGACGCUGAGACGCGAAAGCGUGGGGAGCAAACAGG
RNAcentral lists this ribosomal RNA (253 nucleotides) under uncultured bacterium. RNAcentral describes it as "partial 16S ribosomal RNA". It matches the Rfam family "Bacterial small subunit ribosomal RNA", at positions 524 to 776 of the family's 1533-position model. The record is from RNAcentral.